AUUGAACGCUGGCGGCAUGCCUUACACAUGCAAGUCGAACGGCAGCGGACCUUCGGGUGCCGGCGAGUGGCGAACGGGUGAGUAAUAUAUCGGAACGUACCUUUCAGUGGGGGAUAACGUAGCGAAAGUUACGCUAAUACCGCAUAUUCUGUGAGCAGGAAAGCAGGGGAUCGCAAGACCUUGCGCUGAUUGAGCGGCCGGUAUCAGAUUAGCUAGUUGGUGAGGUAAAGGCUCACCAAGGCGACGAUCUGUAGCGGGUCUGAGAGGAUGAUCCGCCACACUGGAACUGAGACACGGUCCAGACUCCUACGGGAGGCAGCAGUGGGGAAUUUUGGACAAUGGGCGCAAGCCUGAUCCAGCCAUGCCGCGUGAGUGAAGAA
This 380-nucleotide ribosomal RNA is filed under the name uncultured bacterium. Its description in RNAcentral is "bacterial SSU rRNA". It matches the Rfam family "Bacterial small subunit ribosomal RNA", at positions 30 to 412 of the family's 1533-position model. The record is from RNAcentral.